Molecule: ribosomal RNA, 465 nt
Filed under: uncultured Klebsiella sp.
Lineage: Bacteria; Pseudomonadati; Pseudomonadota; Gammaproteobacteria; Enterobacterales; Enterobacteriaceae
Description: bacterial SSU rRNA
Rfam family: Bacterial small subunit ribosomal RNA
Source: RNAcentral
CCUACGGGGGGCUGCAGUGGGGAAUAUUGCACAAUGGGCGCAAGCCUGAUGCAGCCAUGCCGCGUGUGUGAAGAAGGCCUUCGGGUUGUAAAGCACUUUCAGCGGGGAGGAAGGCGGUGAGGUUAAUAACCUCAUCGAUUGACGUUACCCGCAGAAGAAGCACCGGCUAAAUCCGUGCCAGCAGCCGCGGUAAUGCGGAGGGUGCAAGCGUUAAUCGGAAUUACUGGGCGUAAAGCGCACGCAGGCGGUCUGUCAAGUCGGAUGUGAAAUCCCCGGGCUCAACCUGGGAACUGCAUUCGAAACUGGCAGGCUAGAGUCUUGUAGAGGGGGGUAGAAUUCCAGGUGUAGCGGUGAAAUGCGUAGAGAUCUGGAGGAAUACCGGUGGCGAAGGCGGCCCCCUGGACAAAGACUGACGCUCAGGUGCGAAAGCGUGGGGAGCAAACAGGAUUAGAUACCCGUGUAGUC